RNAcentral lists this long non-coding RNA (589 nucleotides) under Olea europaea subsp. europaea. The record is from RNAcentral. Lineage: Eukaryota; Viridiplantae; Streptophyta; Magnoliopsida; Lamiales; Oleaceae.
CUUAUAGCUAUCAGCUCUAGAAAUCCUUUUACAGAGCAUUUUCCAGUCUAAACGUUCAUGGAAAGUUCCUAAAAUCCCGAAAAUUUUAUAACAACUCAAUUCACUUAAAUCUUCACUUUUUCUUCCAAAACCCACUUCUCGAUUACUACACUAAACCUCAAAAAACCAUUCUUUAUCAAAGUUAAUUGUUCUUAUACUGCCUUGGGGGCUGUUUUUGGGGGAGUCAAAUUUAUUCAGAUGAGUGAAUGGGACUGGCCAAGUACGGGCUCCGGGCUCCUAGGAUGGGUGCUGAGGUGGGUCCAAUUUUGGACCGAAUUUUCCAACCCGAAAGGAAUCUGUAAGGGGCUAAAAAAAUUUGUGAUUGGCCUGUAGAUAGCUAAAAAGGUCAUCUUUUUCAGUUUAAUGACGAUUCGGUGGUUUUUUUUUUUUUUUUUUUGUGUGGUCUGAGUUGAAUUGUUUUAGAUUCUCUUGCCUCAAAUUGAAGAAUGAUAUUGUCAUUGAUGUUAAAUUGAAUCUACUGAUUGCAGGUCCUUUCUGUAGCAGUUUAUACUCAAUACAAGAGGUUAUAUAAUGAUUCCGCCCAAAGGUA